GACGAACGUUGGCGGCGUGCUUAAUACAUGCAAGUCAACUGAAGCACCGGUAGUAAUACUGGUGUGGAGGUGGCGCACGGGUGAGUAACACGUAGGUAAUCUGCCUUCAGGUCUGACAUAACCCCGAGAAAUCAGGGCUAAUAGCAGAUGAUGCAGCGGCUUGACAUCAAGACAGUUGUUAAAAGCUUCGGCGCCUGAAGAUGAGCCUGCGUCUGAUUAGCUAGUUGGCGGAGUAAUAGCCCACCAAGGCGACGAUCAGUAGCUGGUCUGAGAGGAUGAUCAGCCACACUGGAACUGAGACACGGUCCAGACUCCUACGGGAGGCAGCAGUAAGGAAUAUUGCUCAAUGGGAGAAAUCCUGAAGCAGCAACGCCGCGUGAGGGAUGAAGGGCUUUUGCUCGUAAACCUCUGUAGUGAGGGAAAAAUUUCCAUUCUAUGGAAUAUGAUGGUACCUCAAAAGUAAG
RNAcentral lists this ribosomal RNA (464 nucleotides) under uncultured bacterium. RNAcentral describes it as "bacterial SSU rRNA". It matches the Rfam family "Bacterial small subunit ribosomal RNA", at positions 28 to 490 of the family's 1533-position model. The record is from RNAcentral.